RNAcentral lists this ribosomal RNA (478 nucleotides) under uncultured bacterium. RNAcentral's name for it is "partial 16S ribosomal RNA". It matches the Rfam family "Bacterial small subunit ribosomal RNA", at positions 28 to 523 of the family's 1533-position model. The record is from RNAcentral.
GAUGAACGCUGGCGGCGUGCUUAACACAUGCAAGUCGAACGGUAAGGCCCUUCGGGGUACACGAGUGGCGAACGGGUGAGUAACACGUGGGUGAUCUACCCUGCACUUCGGGAUAAGCCUGGGAAACUGGGUCUAAUACCGGAUAGGACCACUGCCUGCAUGGGUGGUGGUGGAAAGCUUUUGCGGUGUGGGAUGGGCCCGCGGCCUAUCAGCUUGUUGGUGGGGUGAUGGCCUACCAAGGCGACGACGGGUAGCCGGCCUGAGAGGGUGACCGGCCACACUGGGACUGAGAUACGGCCCAGACUCCUACGGGAGGCAGCAGUGGGGAAUAUUGCACAAUGGGCGCAAGCCUCAUGCAGCGACGCCGCGUGAGGGAUGACGGCCUUCGGGUUGUAAACCUCUUUCAGCACCGACGAAGCGCAAGUGACGGUAGGUGCAGAAGAAGGACCGGCCAACUACGUGCCAGCAGCCGCCGUAA